UCGUUAAAAAAUCCUCCAAAG
This 21-nucleotide non-coding RNA is filed under the name Caenorhabditis elegans. Lineage: Eukaryota; Metazoa; Nematoda; Chromadorea; Rhabditida; Rhabditidae. The record is from RNAcentral.